UAGGCUAAGGCCAAAGUUAGAGGCAUCUGAUUGUUAACUAGAAGAAUGUGGAUAACCACUAGCCUAG
Molecule: transfer RNA, 67 nt
Filed under: Chrysomallon squamiferum (scaly-foot gastropod)
Lineage: Eukaryota; Metazoa; Mollusca; Gastropoda; Neomphalida; Peltospiridae
Description: tRNA-Asn
Rfam family: tRNA
About the family: Transfer RNA (tRNA) molecules are approximately 80 nucleotides in length. Their secondary structure includes four short double-helical elements and three loops (D, anti-codon, and T loops).
Source: RNAcentral